GUGGGCGCUGCCCCGGCGAGGGCCCGACUUGUGGUGCGGGCAGGAGCGGCCCGAGCGCGGCCCCGCUCUGCUCGUGUCCGCCUCCCGCCGGGCGCGGCAGGGCCCGAUGGCGGCCGGGCUGGGGCCGCGGCUGCUGGCCUUGGCCUUGGCCUUGGCCUUGGGGCCGGCCGGUGUGAGUGCUCAAUGGAAGCUGUGGGUGUCUGGUGGAGGUGUUCGAGUACCAGGGGAAUCUGUGCACCUCUCCUGCCAGGGAUCCGGAUUCAACUUUGGAGAUUAUGAUGUCUUGUGGUACCGUCAGGCACGCGGUAGCAGUCUCGAGUGGGUGUCCUACAUCAACUAUUAUGGUAGCACAAUAAAAUAUGGCAAAGCGGUGGAGGGCCGAGCCACAGCUUCCCGGUACAAUUCCCAGUCCAAGGCUCAUCUGUCCCUGCGUGCCCUGGUACCCCAGGACUCUGCCCACUACUUCUGUGCAGUUCGCACAGGGACAGGAAAUCCAGCUGAGCUUUAACACAAACCUGCUCCCAGGGCCCCUUGCCUUCUCUAAGUGUGGCACUGUGACAAAGAACAGGGAGGAGCAGCAGAACCACACUGAGCUCCUGAAGAGGGCAGAGAAUUGCCUUCAGCUCAGCCCUUUCCCACAUUGCCUGCAGGGGCCGAUGGGAUCAACAGCAGUGUCAGGGGCAAAUGGCCAGGUCAGCUGGAGUGCAGCAAGAAGAGAUGCACAGGCUUCCUCAUGAAAGGAAGUGCCGAGUGCUGCUCUUGGGUCCUAACAACGCCAUUCCGUGGGACUGACAGAUGUAACAAUCCCGUUCAGGCUUGGGGAAGAGUGGGUGGAAGGUGUGCUGGCAGACAAGGUCCAGAGGGUUUUGUUUGACAGCCAGCUGAACAUGAGCCAGCAGUGUGCCCCUGUGGCCAAGAAG
Molecule: non-coding RNA, 920 nt
Organism: Cygnus olor (mute swan)
Lineage: Eukaryota; Metazoa; Chordata; Aves; Anseriformes; Anatidae
Source: the annotation of a RefSeq genome assembly